CCCGUGGUGCCUUGGCCUGAGUAGGGAUAAAUUGAAGAAGCAAUUUUUUACCCCCAAAGUUCUGCAGGACUACAGAAAACUCAAGAACACAGCAGAGCAAUUCUUGUCCCGAAGUGGCUACUCCGAAGUGAAUCUGAGCAAACUCUUCGCUGGUUGUGCCGUGAAAUCCUAAGGGAAUCCCAGGAGUAACCAAGGAGGGGGUAGUUGAAAAAUCCCAGCUUCCUCUGUGCCUCCACUCUGGCCCUAAAUGCUCCUCCAGCAUCUGUUUCUCCCUUGGGACUGUGUCUCAUGUUUGUGUGAAUGUAGACCAGGAAAGGGGGCUGCAAAAAUGUUGAGUCUAAUGUUCGUAAGCAUCAUAGAAAUUCCUGUCUUCAUAUUAAGAUGUACUGCUUUAAAACACAACUCCAGAGCCCCUCCCCAAGCUCCCCUCCCCAAGCUCCUGAAGACCCGGUUUCUGAGGGAGGGAAAUUGCUACUUGGAUUGAGAGUAGCUGGAAUGUAAGUGACCCCAGGCUUUGCCUCAGGGCCUUUAGCCUAUGUCCCCCCCACAUAAAGAGAGCUUCUCAGAGCCUGACUGAAGAGCUGACGUUUUGCUUUUUCAUAUGCCAAUUAAACCCGGUCUAAAUCCAAAUGCUUCUCCAGCCAUCCAGGAGUGGCUGUCCUUUUCAGUCUUGUCUUUUAUAUAGGUAGCUGAGGGGGAAGAUUUAGAAGCCUUGCACUCACUAAAUAGAUUAAACAGAGCAGGCUUGUUUGUUGAAUUGCUCCAAAGUCCAACAGACACACACUGAGCAGGUGUUUUACACUCACAUUCCCUUUUUGCCCCUUAAAUAGAAAGUGCAGGUAAAGGUUUAUACAACAAGAAAGCACAUUGAAAAUAAUUUGAUACUCUAACAAUCCAUUAACAUGUGUAGGGGUUACGGUGAGGAUCACUGUGUUGUAUUCAGAAAAACGGGGAGAGGGAUGCUUAAUUGGCCCUGGCGCUUGCUAUUUUUUUCUCAUUUCUUCACAAUAGGACCGUCUUUGGCAGCAGCAAAAUGUAUUUCAGUAUGGCAGUCUUUCCUCUCUUACAUUAUUGGUAAGAUUAUACUAACAAAAUGUUUCCCCUUGUACAAUUAUGCUGUGUUUUUAAAAAACAUUGACCUGUGUGUUUUUAUAAAAGAAAAAGUAUGUUGUGCCUUCUUCUUAAGAAUAAAG
Molecule: long non-coding RNA, 1193 nt
Filed under: Homo sapiens (human)
Lineage: Eukaryota; Metazoa; Chordata; Mammalia; Primates; Hominidae
Description: HSALNT0281011
Source: RNAcentral